This 1410-nucleotide ribosomal RNA is filed under the name uncultured Cyanobacterium sp. Its description in RNAcentral is "bacterial SSU rRNA". It matches the Rfam family "Bacterial small subunit ribosomal RNA". Lineage: Bacteria; Bacillati; Cyanobacteriota; Cyanophyceae; Chroococcales; Geminocystaceae. The record is from RNAcentral.
UAACACAUGCAAGUCGAACGGUCUUUUAGGAGACAGUGGCGGACGGGUGAGUAACGCGUAAGAAUCUACCUUCAGGUUGGGGACAACCACUGGAAACGGUGGCUAAUACCGAAUGUGCCGAGAGGUGAAAGGCUUGCUGCCUGAAGAAGAGCUUGCGUCUGAUUAGCUAGUUGGUAGUGUAAGAGACUACCAAGGCGACGAUCAGUAGCUGGUCUGAGAGGAUGAUCAGCCACACUGGGACUGAGACACGGCCCAGACUCCUACGGGAGGCAGCAGUGGGGAAUUUUCCGCAAUGGGCGAAAGCCUGACGGAGCAAUACCGCGUGAGGGAGGAAGGCUCUUGGGUUGUAAACCUCUUUUCUCAGGGAAGAACAGAAUGACGGUACCUGAGGAAUAAGCAUCGGCUAACUCCGUGCCAGCAGCCGCGGUAAUACGGAGGAUGCAAGCGUUAUCCGGAAUGAUUGGGCGUAAAGGGUCCGCAGGUGGCAUUGUAAGUCUGCUGUUAAAGAGUUUGGCUCAACCAAAUAAGAGCAGUGGAAACUACAAAGCUAGAGUGUGGUCGGGGCAGAGGGAAUUCCUGGUGUAGCGGUGAAAUGCGUAGAUAUCAGGAAGAACACCAGUGGCGAAGGCGCUCUGCUAGGCCGAGACUGACACUGAGGGACGAAAGCUAGGGGAGCGAAUGGGAUUAGAUACCCCAGUAGUCCUAGCCGUAAACGAUGGAUACUAGGCGUAGCUCGUAUCGACCCGAGCUGUGCCGGAGCUAACGCGUUAAGUAUCCCGCCUGGGGAGUACGCAGGCAACUGUGAAACUCAAAGGAAUUGACGGGGGCCCGCACAAGCGGUGGAGUAUGUGGUUUAAUUCGAUGCAACGCGAAGAACCUUACCAAGGCUUGACAUGUCACGAAUCCUAUUGAAAGAUGGGAGUGCCUUCGGGAGCGUGAACACAGGUGGUGCAUGGCUGUCGUCAGCUCGUGUCGUGAGAUGUUGGGUUAAGUCCCGCAACGAGCGCAACCCUCGUUUUUAGUUGCCAGCAUUAAGAUGGGCACUCUAGAGAGACUGCCGGUGACAAACCGGAGGAAGGUGGGGAUGACGUCAAGUCAGCAUGCCCCUUACGUCUUGGGCUACACACGUACUACAAUGCUACGGACAAAGGGCAGCUACACAGCGAUGUGAUGCGAAUCUCGUAAACCGUAGCUCAGUUCAGAUCGAAGGCUGCAACUCGCCUUCGUGAAGGAGGAAUCGCUAGUAAUUGCAGGUCAGCAUACUGCAGUGAAUUCGUUCCCGGGCCUUGUACACACCGCCCGUCACACCAUGGAAGUUGGUCACGCCCGAAGUCGUUACCCCAACCUAUUGGAGGGGGAUGCCUAAGGUAGGACUGAUGACUGGGGUGAAGUCGUAACAAGGUAGCCGUA